GCUGGCCAAUCUGAGCCACAUGACUGGCUUAGGGAUGGGCACGUGACCCACCCUGGACCAAAGACUCUGCAAGGAUUCAUGCAAGCCCUAUUGGAAGGGAUAUUUGCCUUUUGCUGGGUUUCUUAACAUGGCAGGAUGUAAGCCUGGAGCAAUUGGUAGUCAUCUUUGCACCUCGUAAGAAAUACCUACCUGAGCAUGAAGCCAAAACUGAGAAAAAAGGAGCUGGGUUACAAAGAAGGACAGAUUUCUGACGACACUGUCUGAGGACUUGGUUUUAUUAAAACCAGACCCUUCUGGAAUUUUCAGUUAUGGCCCAGCGAAGCACAACUCCUGGAAUCCAGGAGAGGCCCCAGGAACAGAUGCUGAUGGAGACUCCACUAUCCUGAGGAAGGGAAACCCUGGCCCCCUUUCCCAUUCCAUCUCUGCUGAUCCUUCCUCCGCUGUAGGCUUCUUCCCGCUAACCAGUUCUCCAGCUCUUGAAACUGCAGCCUUCCACCAAUUCCUCAACUUCUCCAGGACCUGGUUUUGGAUUAGAAAACUCCUACUACUAUUAAGUAAUCCUUUCUGGAAAUGGCCCUCAACACCUGCCUCACCUAUUUCCUAUUCUGGUUUCUACCUUACACUUCACUUUUUAAAAAAAGUUGGAGGUGAAAAUAUAUUCAGAGAACCUGUCUUUCUGUCAUGUUGUGUUAAUAAUCAACUUGAGGCAAAAUUCCAAUACUGUUUUUCUGAGAAGGGAAAGCUGUAAAUUCUAUGCUGGAAACUGUUCUAAAUAUUCCAAGGAGAGGGGUCCCAUCUCAGAGCAGCUUCUUGAGAAGGAAAAUCCUCUGCUCACAAGAUCCCAAAAUGCAGCUUCUCAAGAGAGUCCAGGAGUCUAUGAUGAAGCAUCUUCUAUAGUAUAGUUUCCAAACUUUAAAAUAUCAAUGGAUAGCCUUUUUAAACAGUAAUUCUUAUAAGGACAGUUAAUAUAAAACACAAACUGAAAAGAGCUGCUUGGUGGGGGGUAGGGGGAAGGCCCUGGUAGCGACUAGGGGUCAGGAAGAACUGCAUGGAAUCCAUUCAGCCAACGAGAGAUUUUCAGAGUCAUUUAACAACCACUAUUACACAGAACUUAUUUAUUAUAUUACAUAUAAUUUUUUUCAUGAUAAAUAAUCC
This 1155-nucleotide long non-coding RNA is filed under the name Homo sapiens (human). RNAcentral's name for it is "HSALNT0311250". Lineage: Eukaryota; Metazoa; Chordata; Mammalia; Primates; Hominidae. The record is from RNAcentral.